AGGACAAUCCCCAUUAUGUCAUGAACGUUUCAUUGCUGAACAACCAUAGAUAUUUUCCUCUAAUUUGGCUCCUGUUUCUCCAACAGUGAGCAAGACCUGCCAGCAGAGCUCACUGGAGCAGGGAGACAUGCCGUCAUCCUUUUUGGCGCCUGACAAAGCUUGAGAUUCAGAUCCUGCUGAACGAUGUUAAGCAGUCGAUUAACCACAUGCAGGGGACGCUGAACACCAUGCAGGGGCAGUGUAUUGAGUUGCAGACUGCCAUGUCUAAGGUAGUGUCAGAUGAGUCUCAGAGUGAUCUUCCUUGGCCUCAUCACAUGUCUCAGUUGCUCCUCCUUUGGAGGGAGGGGGACACCACCACGGGACAGCCCCUACACUUAUCGCUAGAGAUCGAACUUCAGACUCCCUCCAAAACCACUGAACCCCUCAACACACCGAAAUAGUUUAUGAUGCACACCCUUAGAGGGAGCCGGAACAGGAUAACUCCCUCCACCCUCACAAAGACACAGAGGAGGAGGAACUAUCCAAUACCCAGUGAGAGAGAACGAGUGACCUCAAUCAAACACAGACAGAAAGUGGAGGUGGAAGAGGCAUUAGAUAGAUGGAGGAGGUUACCCCAGAGGCCAUUCCUCCUGUUCAUGUGAGCAAGAAAGAGCAGAAGGCUUCUGAUCAGCCAAAUGGCAGGCAGAGGGAGAGGUCAUAGUGAUUCACACCCACAGAGAAAGACAACCCACACAAGCUCUUGGUUGAGAUGAACCACACAGAGGUAGAGGCAGAGGGCUUUCAGGGCUAGCCAGUCAGCCUGCCUGCUCUAAAUCCUCAAGUCAAUUGUAUUUAAAUUCAUGUUCAUUAAAGAUUUUUAUUCAAUAAUUGAAAAGUCCCAUUUACUUAAUGAUCAUUUUUCACUGUCUUCAACCCUCAAGAACCAGGGUGAGUCUGGGUCACCCUUUUACUGGGCAAACAGAACUUGCAUAUCGUCAAAGACUAGGCCGAAACGUUAAUC
This 1000-nucleotide long non-coding RNA is filed under the name Oncorhynchus kisutch (coho salmon). RNAcentral's name for it is "lncRNA (ENSOKIG00005027336.1)". Lineage: Eukaryota; Metazoa; Chordata; Actinopteri; Salmoniformes; Salmonidae. The record is from RNAcentral.